This is a long non-coding RNA of Oryza sativa Japonica Group (Japanese rice), 997 nucleotides long. RefSeq lists it as uncharacterized. NCBI's taxonomy places the organism in Eukaryota, Viridiplantae, Streptophyta, Magnoliopsida, Poales, Poaceae. The record is from RefSeq and is a predicted model, not a curated record.
CACCCGCAUGGUCGCACUCGCACCGCGUCGGCUCCCUCUCCUGCAUCACGCCAUGCCGCCUCACCACAGCGUGCUUGCUGCACCGCUUUCUCUCCCUGUCCCGCAUCACGACGCUCCGCCGCCCUCACCGCAUCGCUCUCGCCGUGCCGCAUCCUCUCCUUCUCCUGGAUCGCGCCCGUCCAGCCGUCCCAGCUGCAUCGCGCUCCCUCUCAAGGGCUUUCCCCUCCCCUCCCCUCCCCCGCCCGAUUCCCCUACCUCCACGACGGUUUCUCGCCUGAUCGCUCUGCUCCCUCUUCGUGACCCUAGCCUUCGUGCGCGCAAAAUCAGGAAAACGGCAUAGACACCUCAACUGCUCCUUGAUGGCUACCGUGAUUGACGCAUUUAAAUCUGAGUGCUAUGCCCAUCACAGGGAUUAUUGGACGCAAACGGCCUCAGCUAAUUCAUCCUCCAGCGAGGCAGCGACGGUGUUGCAUUGCACACACCAGCGACGGUGUUUCCUAUCAUCCUGGCCUGCACUAUUUUUUUCUGUUCCCAAUUGGAUCAGCUAUGGUAUGAUUCGGAAGAGAUUCAGUUUCUUCUUCAGAGGCAUUGAUUUCUAGAAAUUCCAGGCUGUACCCCUCAAAUUAGCUUAUUUCUUAUACUACAAUAUUAUUUAUUUCUAUCAAAUAAUAUAUUACCACUCUUGAAAUAAUUGUGCAACUGAUCCGUACUUAGUUUGAAGCAGAGCACAGUAAACAGUGGCCGUUACACGGCACAUACUACUCAACUUUCAUGAUCACAUCAGAAGUGUUAAAAGUGCAGGUCAUCACAGAAGCUCACAAAGGAGUGCCUCAAAGUAAAGAGUUCUCUCAAUGUAGGGGAAUUCCGUAGGAGUGCCGGAGUUGUCGGCACUCCCUCCACUGGAGUCCUGGAGGAAUGCCGGAUACUUUAUUCAAUAAAAUUCCGAUUCCUCCGACGCUCCGGUGUACUUCGAAAUAGUUGCCGAGGUUCCUCCAGC